RNA transcript from Salvia hispanica, 1989 nucleotides. It is a transcript of the gene named F-box protein SKIP17-like, with no coding region annotated. Lineage: Eukaryota; Viridiplantae; Streptophyta; Magnoliopsida; Lamiales; Lamiaceae. The record is from RefSeq and is a predicted model, not a curated record.
UCUACUCAAACCCUUGACCGCACAAACUCAAAGGAAAAGGAAGCGGGAAUCCUCACCGCCCUUCGAAAUCGCCAUGGAUAGCCGCGACGCCAAGCUCAAGCGCCCCUGCUACCCCACCCACACCGAAAAUCCGACCUCCUAUUCCGAUCAUUUCGACGUUCUAUUGGAGUCUCUCCUCCAUUUCCGCGAUUCCUCCGCGAUCGCUCUCGACCUCGCCGUCGGUCGCAUCGUCGACUCCUGCCCCCGCGAUUCCGAGAAGCAACACGUCGUCGAUCGCGCGCUCCGUCUCGGUUCCGCGCUCACUGAAGCGGCCAACCGAUCCGCUAGGAGGCUGGCUUCCAUGCACAACGCCGCCGUUUGGGCUCUUCCGUCCGAUCUCACUAUUAAGGUAUUUUCGUUGCUCGAUACACAGAGUGUGUGUCAUGCUGCUGCUACAUGCUCCUUCUUCAAUAAGUGUGCUGCUGAUCCAUUGUGCUAUGCCAAUAUUAACUUAACCACGACUGUUCCAAGGGUCAAUAAUGUAGUAGUUUCCACAAUGAUUCAACGAGCGGGGAAAGUACUGCGGUCCCUUAAGCUUGGGAUUGUCCCUCGCCCACCUGUUGCAUCACUAGGUUCGUCACAAGCACUCGUUUAUUCUAUGAGAAAUUCAUCAGAUACAUCGGAAUUUUCAUGGAAUGAUAAAAGGCCGAGACAGGGAAAGGAGACAUUUAUACUUACUAGGUCUUGCUUGGCACCAUUGAUCAGUGAUGGUGGUGCUCCAGGGGCUCUUCUGAAAAAGUUACACCUUUAUAACAUAGAAAGAAUGGACAAUUCAGCAUUGGGAGCUGCUAUAUCCGCUUGCCCUUCUUUGCUUGAUCUAGAAAUUGUUGGCCUACAUGUGGAGCUGCGGCAUACCCUGGAGUCUGUGAGUAGAUCCUGUCCCCUAAUAGGACGUCUAUAUUUUGAAUCAUCGAAAACAGGUAGAGAUGACAGCUUAAAAUUAGCAACAUGCAAUGACAUAGUCAACAAUUGCCCAUAUUUAUCCUCGUUAGCACUUCGAGGGUUUAAAUUGCAUGACCCUAAAGUCCGUGUUCUUGUCAAGGGAUUGCGUAAUUUGAAUUUUGUUGACUUUACAAUGUCCUAUGCCAUCACUGGUGAAUUUCUUAGAAACCUAGGUGGCAGUGGAGGUGGAAGCUUACUGGAAGUUUUGAUUUUACGGGAUUGUAUGCAUUUGAGAGAAGCAGAAGUUUCCAGGUUGCUUUCGGCGAUUAUUGCAGGACGUUUCAAGUUUCUUAAGCACCUUGAUGUAUCCAAUCGAGAGGGGCUUGCAUCUGAUGAUGACUGGUACCAGAGAUGUUACACCCCAAGUUUCAUGUCUUUACGCGAGCUAUUGGAAGAAAGGCCCAGUCUAAGGGUGCUUGCAGAUUUUCCUGCCAUGGGAAGUUUUGUGGAAGAGCCAAUGACCAGCAGUGAUGUCAACAACGAUACCAACUCACCCUCUGGGGAGUAUGCAUUCACUACCUCAUCGGAGAGCAGUUAUAAUAGCGACCACAGUAGUGGCAACGAGGACUACCCUAAUGCCGGGUUUCCAAUCCAUGAUGAGAGUUCAGAUGAGGUGGAUGAUUUAUAGAGAGAGAGAUGUCAGCAUCUCGGUCCAGUGGAACCGCCUGUAUAACUGGUACAAUCUCCACAUCAACUCAUCAGGUGUCCUGACUCCUGUCGAUACUCCUACACGCAAUGCAAAUUCAGUGCGAUCCUUAUUGCAUUAACAUGAGGAUUUUCAUUCUCCGAGCAUUGUUGACAGUAGCAAUUCAGCGGCUGCUGCAUUGAUUGUGAUUUUUUGUAUAGGUCACUGGCUGGCGUAUACACACUCACAUUCCUGUUUACGAGGACCUGCAGAUUGUCGAAAGUCUCGAUAGUUUGCUCAUGUUUCAAGCUUUGUUUUUCAUUUGAACAUGCAGAAACGAUCAUAAGAGUUAUUUUAUUAAGUUCUCCUAUUUAUUAUCUGGA